RNAcentral lists this ribosomal RNA (460 nucleotides) under uncultured bacterium. RNAcentral's name for it is "partial 16S ribosomal RNA". It matches the Rfam family "Bacterial small subunit ribosomal RNA", at positions 338 to 795 of the family's 1533-position model. The record is from RNAcentral.
CCUACGGGUGGCAGCAGUGAGGAAUAUUGGUCAAUGGCCGGAAGGCUGAACCAGCCAAGCCGCGUGAAGGACGAAGGUGCCAAGCAUUGUAAACUUCUUUUGUCAAGGGACAAAAUCAGGCUCGCGAGCCUGACCGAGGGUACUUGAAGAAAAAGCAUCGGCUAACUCCGUGCCAGCAGCCGCGGUAAUACGGAGGAUGCGAGCGUUAUCCGGAUUCACUGGGUGUAAAGGGAGCGUAGACGGCGAGACAAGUCUGGAGUGAAAGGCCGGGGCCCAACCCCGGGACUGCUCUGGAAACUGCCUGGCUGGAGUACAGGAGAGGUAAGUGGAAUUCCUAGUGUAGCGGUGAAAUGCGUAGAUAUUAGGAGGAACACCAGUGGCGAAGGCGGUCUGCUGGACAGCAACUGACGCUGAGGCGCGAAAGCGUGGGGAGCAAACAGGAUUAGAUACCCGAGUAGUC